Molecule: long non-coding RNA, 642 nt
Organism: Quercus lobata
Lineage: Eukaryota; Viridiplantae; Streptophyta; Magnoliopsida; Fagales; Fagaceae
Exons: 2
Source: RefSeq, a predicted model, not a curated record
AAAAUUCGUAACCUAAGGUAAUACUGGAUUGAUAGCAUCCUAUAUUAUUCUUAAAUAUCCUGCUUUUGAAGAUGAUACGAUUUUAUAUGUGGAUUACUGGAUUGUUAUUAUGUGCUUUGGGUUAAAGUAAUACUGGAUUGUUGGUUAUGAAUUUUAUUGAGAUGAGCAAAGCUUGCAGUCAGUUACUUACUUAGCCCAUGUGCAUAAAUUAGUUAAAGACGUGUUCAAAUAAGUGCAGGAAAUUGGUGCUUUGUCUUAUGGUUUUCCUGAUGGUUUUUCUUGGACAUCAGUGUGAAUUUGCUCGAUAUAUUAUUAUAUAUUUUGAUAGUUUUUGAUUACAUUCAGCCCCCGAGAUAAAAAGACCACACUCACACCAAGCCAAGGUUUGAUUAGAGAAACACAGAGAGAGAAAGAGAACAGGUUUUUCAAAUUCUUCAAAGUCCAAGUACUUCUCUGCAAAGCUAAAAUGGUGAAAAGUUGAGAGCUUUGAAGUUUGAUGAGUCGAUGCAUGAGAGUGAUUAGCUUCUACCUAGCGAUUGAAGAAGAGAUCAUCUUACUUUUCGAGAUGAUGUAUAUUUCCUAUGUUUGUUAAUUAAUAUGUUGAAUUAAUAAAAGGCAAUAGUUGUGCUCUGUGCAGUUCUA